Molecule: long non-coding RNA, 1217 nt
Organism: Oxyura jamaicensis (ruddy duck)
Lineage: Eukaryota; Metazoa; Chordata; Aves; Anseriformes; Anatidae
Exons: 4
Source: RefSeq, a predicted model, not a curated record
CCCUUACCCUGUCGAAGAAGUGAAGACAAAUAUGAAGGAGUGAAAGAGUUUUCAUUUAAGUUUAUUCAUGUCAGCUUACGCCAGUCACAGCUGCUAGAUUGUUUUGAAAACAUGAAGGGAAUGAGAGACUGAAAGUGACAUGUCCGUGGUGUUGCAUCAUUGCAUGUGAAAGAAGUCAUCAAAGACAUACAAAAGCAUGUAUAUAGCUGCAGAUGCACAUGACUGUUGUCUAUCAGUGGGAAUUGCUACAGUGUUUGCCCUGAAAUUCUUUAAGACUACUCAAAAAUACUGUAGAUUAGAAGAGCUUUAACAGAGGAUGCUGGAGGAGGCUUGGCCUGAGUGACUACUGAAAGAGGAUACCUGAAAGUUUCCAGUGUAAUGUUUGCUUGCUUAUAGGCAGAAGUACAUCAGGGCCACAUGCAUAUUAAAUGGUGGGCCACCCAAGUCAUAGGAUAAUGCAUUGACAAUGCACUUGGCAAACGGAUUUAGCUGUUUUUUUAGAGUAAGUCCUUCCUUUAUAUCAUGUAUAAACACAAACAUGUCUGAUGUUCAGCAUGACUCAUGCUUAGUUAUUAAUACAGUCCUGGAGAUAAGGUAUUUGACAAGAACAUGCUUUUAUGCAUGCUGAAACUAAGACGGCUAUAUAAUACCAGUAGUAGCAAACAACUUUUUCAAAUUCUCAUGGAAACCAUUCAGGAGUGUGAAAUGGAUGCCAAUUUCAUUAUCACCUAUAAGAAGGCAAACAAUGAAUCUUUGUAGGCUCACAGGCUGUACUCAGAACAGGAGGCUUAAGUGCAUCAGCCAGUAGGUAAACUCAAUCAGGCUAGUACCUGUCAGAUGGAAUAUGUCUGUUAACAAAGCCAUUAAGUGUACUUUAAAUGCUAGUUAGAACUUUUGCAAGGAGUGUUUACGGGUUGAACAUUGGAGGAUGCAGUGAGCCAUACAGUAAAGUUCUUAGUUACAGUGGGCACAUAAUAGUCUUAACUACUGGUUGCAGAACAUUUUUACUAUGUAAAUAAGUGUUUUUAUGUGUAUUUUACAGACCUGGAAGUGAAUAAGUUAAAGGCUGUGAUCAAAGGGAACAAUAAAAUUUUAAGCUAAGGAAGGAAGAUGCUAGAGAGGUGAAGUGCUGAGAAUGUUUUUUGAUUGCAGUGUUUUUAUGGAAAAAGUUUUCUGAUGAACCUAGUUUUAAAUAACUAUUGAUGUUGAAAUUUACC